Molecule: ribosomal RNA, 229 nt
Filed under: uncultured Eubacteriales bacterium
Lineage: Bacteria; Bacillati; Bacillota; Clostridia; Eubacteriales
Description: uncultured Clostridiales bacterium partial 16S ribosomal RNA
Rfam family: Bacterial small subunit ribosomal RNA
Source: RNAcentral
GUAGAGUAACGCGUGAGUAACCUGCCUUACACAAGGGGAUAGCCUUUGGAAACGAAGAAUAAUACCCUAUAAAACCAUAAAAGCACAUGCUAGAAUGGUCAAAGUGCUAGCGGUGUAAGAUGGACUUGCGUCUGAUUAGCUAGUUGGUGAGAUAAAAGCUCACCAAGGCAACGAUCAGUAGCCGGCUUGAGAGAGUGUACGGCCACAUUGGGACUGAGACACGGCCCAG